This 253-nucleotide ribosomal RNA is filed under the name uncultured bacterium. Its description in RNAcentral is "partial 16S ribosomal RNA". It matches the Rfam family "Bacterial small subunit ribosomal RNA", at positions 524 to 776 of the family's 1533-position model. The record is from RNAcentral.
UACGGAGGGGGCUAGCGUUGUUCGGAAUUACUGGGCGUAAAGGGCGCGUAGGCGGCUUGCCAAGUCAGGGGUGAAAUCUUUCGGCUCAACCGGAAAACAGCUUCUGAUACUGGCGGGCUUGAGGGAGGUAGGGGCGGAUGGAACUUCCGGUGGAGCGGUGAAAUGCGUAGAUAUCGGAAGGAACACCGGUGGCGAAAGCGAUCCGCUGGACCUCCUCUGACGCUGAGGCGCGAAAGCCAGGGGAGCAAACGGG